This 497-nucleotide ribosomal RNA is filed under the name uncultured bacterium. RNAcentral describes it as "partial 16S ribosomal RNA". It matches the Rfam family "Bacterial small subunit ribosomal RNA", at positions 28 to 507 of the family's 1533-position model. The record is from RNAcentral.
GAUGAACGCUGGCGGCGUGCCUAAUACAUGCAAGUCGAGCGAACAGAUAAGGAGCUUGCUCCUUUGACGUUAGCGGCGGACGGGUGAGUAACACGUGGGUAACCUACCUAUAAGACUGGGAUAACUUCGUGAAACCGGAGCUAAUACCGGAUAACAUUUGGAACCGCAUGGUUCUAAAGUGAAAGAUGGUUUUGCUAUCACUUAUAGAUGGACCCGCGCCGUAUUAGCUAGUUGGUAAGGUAACGGCUUACCAAGGCGACGAUACGUAGCCGACCUGAGAGGGUGAUCGGCCACACUGGAACUGAGACACGGUCCAGACUCCUACGGGAGGCAGCAGUAGGGAAUCUUCCGCAAUGGGCGAAAGCCUGACGGAGCAACGCCGCGUGAGUGAUGAAGGGUUUCGGCUCGUAAAACUCUGUUAUUAGGGAAGAACAAACGUGUAAGUAACUGUGCACGUCUUGACGGUACCUAAUCAGAAAGCCACGGCUAACUACGUG